RNAcentral lists this ribosomal RNA (429 nucleotides) under Bacillota bacterium. RNAcentral's name for it is "Firmicutes bacterium partial 16S ribosomal RNA". It matches the Rfam family "Bacterial small subunit ribosomal RNA", at positions 355 to 776 of the family's 1533-position model. The record is from RNAcentral. Lineage: Bacteria; Bacillati; Bacillota.
UGGGGAAUUUUGGACAAUGGGCGCAAGCCUGAUCCAGCAAUGCCGCGUGUGUGAAGAAGGCCUUCGGGUUGUAAAGCACUUUUGUCCGGAAAGAAAACCUCGUGGUUAAUACCCGUGGGGGAUGACGGUACCGGAAGAAUAAGCACCGGCUAACUACGUGCCAGCAGCCGCGGUAAUACGUAGGGUGCAAGCGUUCAUCGGAAUUACUGGGCGUAAAGCGUGCGCAGGCGGUUCGCUAAGGCAGAUGUGAAAUCCCCGGGCUUAACCUGGGAACUGCAUUUGUGACUGGCGGGCUAGAGUAUGGCAGAGGGGUGUAGAAUUCCACGUGUAGCAGUGAAAUGCGUAGAGAUGUGGAGGAAUACCGAUGGCGAAGGCAGCCCCCUGGGCCAAUACUGACGCUCAUGCACGAAAGCGUGGGGAGCAAACAGG